GACGAACGCUGGCGGCGUGCUUAACACAUGCAAGUCGAACGGAAAGGCCCUGCUUUUGUGGGGUGCUCGAGUGGCGAACGGGUGAGUAACACGUGAGUAACCUGCCCUUGACUUUGGGAUAACUCCAGGAAACUGGGGCUAUUACCGCAUAGGAGCUCCUGCUGCAUGGUGGGGGUUGGAAAGUUUCGGCGGUUGGGGAUGGACUCGCGGCUUAUGAGCUUGUUGGUGGAGUAGGGGCUUACCAAGGCUUUGACGGGUAGCCGACCUGAGAGGGUGACCGGCGACAUUGGGACUGAGGGACGGCCCAGACUCCUACGGGAGGCAGCGGUGGGGAGUAUUGCACAAUGGGCGGGAGCCUGAUGCAGCAACGCCGCGUGCGGGAUGACGGCCUUCGGGUUGUGAACCGCUUUCGCCUGUGACGAAGCGUGAGUGACGGUAAUGGGUAAAGAAGCACCGGCUAACUACGUG
This 468-nucleotide ribosomal RNA is filed under the name uncultured bacterium. RNAcentral's name for it is "partial 16S ribosomal RNA". It matches the Rfam family "Bacterial small subunit ribosomal RNA", at positions 28 to 507 of the family's 1533-position model. The record is from RNAcentral.